This 694-nucleotide ribosomal RNA is filed under the name uncultured bacterium. Its description in RNAcentral is "bacterial SSU rRNA". It matches the Rfam family "Bacterial small subunit ribosomal RNA", at positions 8 to 697 of the family's 1533-position model. The record is from RNAcentral.
AGAGUUUGAUUAUGGCUCACGCACUUAUCGCUGGCGGCGUGCCUAACACAUGCAAGUCGAACGGACUGCCAAGGACAAACAUUUCGGUGGGCGGCUUUGGUAACUGAGUGGCGGACGGGUGAGUAACGCGUGGACAACCUGCCGUGUACAGGGGGAUAACAGCCGGAAACGGCUGCUAAUACCGCAUAUGCGCACAGUGCCGCAUGGCACAGGGCGGAAAACGAUAGUGGUACACGAUGGGUCCGCGUCUGAUUAGAUAGUUGGCGGGGUAACGGCCCACCAAGUCGACGAUCAGUAGCCGGCCUGAGAGGGCGGACGGCCACACUGGGACUGAGACACGGCCCAGACUCCUGCGGGAGGCAGCAGUGGGGAAUAUUGCACAAUGGGGGGAACCCUGAUGCAGCGACGCCGCGUGAAGGAAGAAGUAUUUCGGUAUGUAAACUUCUAUCAGCAGGGAAGAAAAAGGACGGUACCUGACUAAGAAGCCCCGGCUAACUACGUGCCAGCAGCCGCGGUAAUACGUAGGGGGCGAGCGUUAUCCGGAUUUACUGGGUGUAAAGGGGGCGCAGACGGCCAUGGCAAGCCCGGUGUGAAAGGUGCGGGCACAACCCGCAGACUGCACUGGUAACUGCCUGGCUGGAGUGCCGGAGGGGUAAACGGAAUUCCCUGGUGUACCGGUGAAAUGCGUACAUAU